AUACGGAGGGAUCAAGCGUUAUUCGGAAUCACUGGGCGUAAAGGACGCGUAGGCGGGUUUGUAAGUCAGGUGUGAAAUCCUACAGCUCAACUGUAGAACUGCACUUGAAACUACAGACCUAGAGUAUGGAAGGGGCAGAUGGAAUUAGUGGUGUAGGGGUAAAAUCCGUAGAUAUCACUAGGAAUACCGAAAGCGAAGGCGAUCUGCUGGGACAUUACUGACGCUGAGGCGUGAAAGCGUGGGGAGCAAACAGGAUUAGAAACCCCGGUAGUCC
Molecule: ribosomal RNA, 274 nt
Filed under: uncultured bacterium
Lineage: Bacteria
Description: partial 16S ribosomal RNA
Rfam family: Bacterial small subunit ribosomal RNA
Source: RNAcentral